AGAGAGGUUGAGUAACUUACCCAAGUUUUCAUAGCCGAUCAAUCGUGGAAACAAGAUUUAAACCCAGGCAGUUUUUCUCCAGAGCCUGCCUUCUUUUUCACCACUAAACAUAAAUGUCAACAGAGAGAUGUGUGAGGGCUGAUUGUGAGCAUGUCUUCCCAAGUCUGAAUUCAGUGACCUCACAUUAGUAGCCUGAAAUCAGCUGUGGUAAAUGUAUUCCCACCAUGGAAAUCAGUAAAUGCUGUAAUCAGAGCUCCUCUUGCCUCUCCGGAGCUGGUUGCUAAACAUUUACCAGCACACCACUGGUUACAGACACAUUUGGAAAGCUGUUUGACGGAAUAUUGCAGGUAGGAGCAUAAAUCCAGUCCCUGGUACUCCAUCUUGGCCAGAGUAGAAGUCCAAGUUCAUCUGAGAAAUGUAUUGGAAGCAGCACUUGCCCCAUCUGUCUGUCCUGGCUCCACUACAGUGCCCGCCAUGACCAGGGUUUGUCCACUAGCUGGAGAUCAUACUAUUACAACAAAGAGGCUACUUACAUGGGGCUCUUUCUAAGUGAGCAGAGUCAGCUCAAAUUCUGCACAAGAGACAAUCUACCUGCCAACUCUGGUCUGCAGCAUGAGGAGCUCUUUUGCUGAUGGGCAAAAGGUUUGAAUCCUGGUUCCACCAUGGCUAAUUGGGUGACAGUGGACAACCUACUUUCUGGGCCCCAGUUUCUUAUGUUUUCCUUCUGACUGAUUGGACUUGCCAUGCUGCGUUCUUUUAUCUGCUUGUCCUUCUUGUGCCCCAGAAAUUCCCCCAAAACAUAUGAUAUUGAGAAGAAAAUAUUAAAUAUAUACAGCAGCAUCAUGCCUUAAAAAAACAUUAUUGGAUUAUUUACAUACCUUCCAUUCAAUGAUGUUAGCAUAGUAUGUUGGUCUGGAAUUGAAAAUAUACUCAGUAUCACCUACAUUGCCUGUGCAUUUUAAUUUGGGGGUUACCUGUCCAAACCCUCUCUCUCAGAACUCUGCCAAAUAUCAUCCAUCAUUCAUACCAUGACUGGAAUUUCCAUCUCUAUUAUUUCAUUCUCCUGGUAUAAACAAUCAUGUCUUGGGUAGCUAGCAUCUUCCCCUGGCAUUUAGCUCCCAUGCAAUGUAGGAAAAAAAAUUCACUCUAUAGGGCAGUCCAUUGUCCUCCAUUUGUAGGCACUCUUGGUCUGUAAACUAAAAUGUUUAAUUACUAGAAUAUAGUAUAAGAAAACAUUACGUUUGCAAGCCUCAUAAUGUUGUUCAUGGAUUUACACUUUCCCAGUUGCAUGCAUGUUAACCUAGAUUACUCCUAGUUUCCAGAAUGAGGGCAAGGGAAUGUU
Molecule: long non-coding RNA, 1342 nt
Filed under: Equus caballus (horse)
Lineage: Eukaryota; Metazoa; Chordata; Mammalia; Perissodactyla; Equidae
Description: lncRNA (ENSECAG00000049082.1)
Source: RNAcentral